Molecule: ribosomal RNA, 500 nt
Filed under: Gordonia sp. FS14(2011)
Lineage: Bacteria; Bacillati; Actinomycetota; Actinomycetes; Mycobacteriales; Gordoniaceae
Description: bacterial SSU rRNA
Rfam family: Bacterial small subunit ribosomal RNA
Source: RNAcentral
GGCGUGCUUACACUGCAAGUCGAACGGAAAGGCCCAGCUUGCUGGGUACUCGAGUGGCGAACGGGUGAGUAACACGUGGGUGAUCUGCCCUGCACUCUGGGAUAAGCCUGGGAAACUGGGUCUAAUACCGGAUAUGACCAACUGUCGCAUGGUGGUUGGUGGAAAGCUUUUGCGGUGUGGGAUGGGCCCGCGGCCUAUCAGCUUGUUGGUGGGGUAAUGGCCUACCAAGGCGACGACGGGUAGCCGACCUGAGAGGGUGAUCGGCCACACUGGGACUGAGACACGGCCCAGACUCCUACGGGAGGCAGCAGUGGGGAAUAUUGCACAAUGGGCGCAAGCCUGAUGCAGCGACGCCGCGUGAGGGAUGACGGCCUUCGGGUUGUAAACCUCUUUCACCAGGGACGAAGCGUGAGUGACGGUACCUGGAGAAGAAGCACCGGCCAACUACGUGCCAGCAGCCGCGGUAAUACGUAGGGUGCGAGCGUUGUCCGGAAUUACUG